This 23-nucleotide non-coding RNA is filed under the name Drosophila melanogaster (fruit fly). Lineage: Eukaryota; Metazoa; Arthropoda; Insecta; Diptera; Drosophilidae. The record is from RNAcentral.
UGUCUGUGAAGUUUACGUCAGCG